This 468-nucleotide ribosomal RNA is filed under the name uncultured bacterium. RNAcentral's name for it is "partial 16S ribosomal RNA". It matches the Rfam family "Bacterial small subunit ribosomal RNA", at positions 28 to 507 of the family's 1533-position model. The record is from RNAcentral.
GACGAACGCUGGCGGCGUGCUUAACACAUGCAAGUCGAACGGAAAGGCCCUGCUUUUGUGUGGUGCUCGAGUGGCGAACGGGUGAGUAACACGUGAGUAACCUGCCCUUGACUUUGGGAUAACUUCAGGAAACUGGGGCUAAUACCGGAUAUGAGCUCCUGCUGCAUGGUGGGGUUUGGAAAGUUUCGGCGGUUGUGGAUGGACUCGCGGCUUAUCAGCUUGUUGGUGGGGUAGUUGCUUACCAAGGCUUUGACGGGUAGCCGGCCUGAGAGGGUGACCGGCCACAUUGGGACUGAGAUACGGCCCAGACUCCUACGGGAGGCAGCAGUGGGGAAUAUUGCACAAUGGGCGGAAGCCUGAUGCAGCAACGCCGCGUGCGGGAUGACGGCCUUCGGGUUGUAAACCGCUGUCGCCUGUGACGAAGCGUGAGUGACGGUAAUGGGUAAAGAAGCACCGGCUAACUACGUG